This 1268-nucleotide long non-coding RNA is filed under the name Malus domestica (apple). RNAcentral's name for it is "long non-coding RNA (MDOM_LNC020213)". The record is from RNAcentral. Lineage: Eukaryota; Viridiplantae; Streptophyta; Magnoliopsida; Rosales; Rosaceae.
ACAACCUUAUAUUCUAGCAACAUAUUCAUGCAAGCCAAUUAAGUGUCGACCCCUAAUUAACAAACAUAAAUAAGUUAUUACUCGCACAGUUAACCAAUUGCAUUCACGAUUCAAGAACUUAUAACUGGAAUUUAUCAAAUCAACUUGCAUACAUAGUCAUGGCUUCGAAAUUACCCCUAACCAAUAGGGGUUUAGCCACUCAUGUUCGUAGCAAAACGAAAGGAAAAGAAAUUAAACAUUGAAAUCAUAAAACGAAUUACACCUAGAAUGCACCAACGAUGAAGCUUGAGCAUCCAAGAGUCCUUCCUUCUUUCUCCUUGCUGCUGCACACGAAUGGGUGAGUUUUGGGGGUUAUGAAUGGUGUAGAACGAUGGGUUUAUGGCUGGGAUAGGUGUAUGGGACGGCUAGGGUGGUUUUUGGUCAGAAAAUAUGGUGAAUGGUGAAGGAUAGGUGCGGCAGAGAGAGUGGUGAUGUUUCUGGCGUGAAUGGGACUGAAUCGGGCAGAUUCUUGGGUAUUUGAAUGAUGUAGAAUGGAUGGAGGAUGUAUGGAAGUGUUUAGGGUUGAUGGGUGGUGCGGCUAGGGUGGUUUUGUGGCAGAAAUUUGGGUGAAUGGUGAAGGAAUGGGGCUGUUGAAGAUGGAGAAUGGUUUCUGGCGUGAAGGAUUAUUUUCUGGAUGAAUGGCUCUCUUUGUGGCUGCACAAGCAUGUUUAUUUAAAGGGAUUAGGAAAUUAAAAACCCUAGGCUAAUUAGGUAAACAGAAAUUUAAGUCAAAGGCUUCUAAAAAUAGGAAAUCAAAUCAGGAAUUAAAGGAAAUUAGGCAAGGGAAAUUCGGCUAGGGUUUAAAACAGAAAAGGAAGGUGUUUUAAAGCUUAGAAUCAGGAAAUAACCCUCUCCCUUGCACGGCAAGGAAGAGGAAAUACCAAAGGGGGUGCGGCAAGGGUUCAAAAGGUGCAAGAGAUGUGUAUUUGAUGUCCUAGAAUGCUUAGGAAGUCUUCAUAAUUGCUGGAACUUUUAGGGACAUUUAGGAAAAAUCAAACCAAAGUAGGAAACUUUGGCUUAACUUUCCUAUUUCAAGUAGGAAUCCUUGUUGGAGUAGGAAUCCUUGUUCUUCUAGGAAUCCUCAUGUGAUUAGGAAUCCAUCUUCCAUUAGGAAUCCUGCUUCAAUUAGGAAUCCUUCUUCAAUUAGGAAUCCUUCUUCAAUUAGGAAUCCUUCGUUGAUUAGGAAUCCUAAUUUCUUCAAGUCUUCAAUUCAUCCAUUCCUUUUGCUC